This 928-nucleotide ribosomal RNA is filed under the name Escherichia coli. Its description in RNAcentral is "partial 23S ribosomal RNA". It matches the Rfam family "Bacterial large subunit ribosomal RNA", at positions 307 to 1239 of the family's 2925-position model. The record is from RNAcentral. Lineage: Bacteria; Pseudomonadati; Pseudomonadota; Gammaproteobacteria; Enterobacterales; Enterobacteriaceae.
AGCCUGAAUCAGUGUGUGUGUUAGUGGAAGUGUCUGGAAAGGCGCGCGAUACAGGGUGACAGCCCCGUACACAAAAAUGCACAUGCUGUGAGCUCGAUGAGUAGGGCGGGACACGUGGUAUCCUGUCUGAAUAUGGGGGGACCAUCCUCCAAGGCUAAAUACUCCUGACUGACCGAUAGUGAACCAGUACCGUGAGGGAAAGGCGAAAAGAACCCCGGCGAGGGGAGUGAAAAAGAACCUGAAACCGUGUACGUACAAGCAGUGGGAGCACAGAGCAAUCUGUGUGACUGCGUACCUUUUGUAUAAUGGGUCAGCGACUUAUAUUCUGUAGCAAGGUUAACCGAAUAGGGGAGCCGAAGGGAAACCGAGUCUUAACUGGGCGUUAAGUUGCAGGGUAUAGACCCGAAACCCGGUGAUCUAGCCAUGGGCAGGUUGAAGGUUGGGUAACACUAACUGGAGGACCGAACCGACUAAUGUUGAAAAAUUAGCGGAUGACUUGUGGCUGGGGGUGAAAGGCCAAUCAAACCGGGAGAUAGCUGGUUCUCCCCGAAAGCUAUUUAGGUAGCGCCUCGUGAAUUCAUCUCCGGGGGUAGAGCACUGUUUCGGCAAGGGGGUCAUCCCGACUUACCAACCCGAUGCAAACUGCGAAUACCGGAGAAUGUUAUCACGGGAGACACACGGCGGGUGCUAACGUCCGUCGUGAAGAGGGAAACAACCCAGACCGCCAGCUAAGGUCCCAAAGUCAUGGUUAAGUGGGAAACGAUGUGGGAAGGCCCAGACAGCCAGGAUGUUGGCUUAGAAGCAGCCAUCAUUUAAAGAAAGCGUAAUAGCUCACUGGUCGAGUCGGCCUGCGCGGAAGAUGUAACGGGGCUAAACCAUGCACCGAAGCUGCGGCAGCGACACUGUGUGUUGUUGGGUAGGGGAGCGU